UUUUGCAUAUCCCAAAAGCGGAGGAAAAGAAACCAACAGGGAUUGCCCUAGUAACGGCGAGUGAAGCGGCAACAGCUCAAAUUUGAAAUCUGGCUCUUUCAGAGUCCGAGUUGUAAUUUGCAGAGGGCGCUUUGGCUUUGGCAGCGGUCCAAGUUCCUUGGAACAGGACGUCACAGAGGGUGAGAAUCCCGUACGUGGUCGCUAGCUAUUGCCGUGUAAAGCCCCUUCGACGAGUCGAGUUGUUUGGGAAUGCAGCUCUAAAUGGGAGGUAAAUUUCUUCUAAAGCUAAAUAUUGGCCAGAGACCGAUAGCGCACAAGUAGAGUGAUCGAAAGAUGAAAAGCACUUUGGAAAGAGAGUCAAACAGCACGUGAAAUUGUUGAAAGGGAAGCGCUUGCAGCCAGACUUGCUUGCAGUUGCUCAUCCGGGCUUUUGCCCGGUGCACUCUUCUGCAGGCAGGCCAGCAUCAGUUUGGGCGGUGGGAUAAAGGUCUCUGACACGUUCCUUCCUUCGGGUUGGCCAUAUAGGGGAGACGUCAUACCACCAGCCUGGACUGAGGUCCGCGCAUCUGCUAGGAUGCUGGCGUAAUGGCUGUAAGCGGCCCGUCUUGAGCCACCGGACCAAA
Molecule: ribosomal RNA, 623 nt
Filed under: Curvularia lunata
Lineage: Eukaryota; Fungi; Ascomycota; Dothideomycetes; Pleosporales; Pleosporaceae
Description: LSU rRNA
Rfam family: Eukaryotic large subunit ribosomal RNA
Source: RNAcentral